CUUGUCUCAAAGAUUAAGCCAUGCAUGUCUAAGUAUAAGCAAUCUAUACAGUGAAACUGCGAAUGGCUCAUUAAAUCAGUUAUAGUUUAUUUGAUAGUACCUUACUACUUGGAUAACCGUGGUAAUUCUAGAGCUAAUACAUGCUAAAAACCCCGACUUCGGAAGGGGUGUAUUUAUUAGAUAAAAAACCAAUGCCCUUCGGGGCUCCCUGGUGAUUCAUAAUAACUUAACGAAUCGCAUGGCCUUGUGCCGGCGAUGGUUCAUUCAAAUUUCUGCCCUAUCAACUUUCGAUGGUAGGAUAGUGGCCUACCAUGGUUUCAACGGGUAACGGGGAAUUAGGGUUCGAUUCCGGAGAGGGAGCCUGAGAAACGGCUGCCACAUCCAAGGAAGGCAGCAGGCGCGCAAAUUACCCAAUCCCGACACGGGGAGGUAGUGACAAUAAAUACCGAUACAGGGCUCAUUAGGGUCUUGUAAUUGGAAUGAGUACAAUUUAAACCCCUUAACGAGGAACAAUUGGAGGGCAAGUCUGGUGCCAGCAGCCGCGGUAAUUCCAGCUCCAAUAGCGUAUAUUAAAGUUGUUGCAGUUAAAAAGCUCGUAGUUGAACCUUGGGCCUGGCUGGCCGGUCCGCCUCACCGCGUGCACUGGUCCGGCCGGGCCUUUCCUCCUGGGGAACCGCAUGCCCUUCACUGGGUGUGUCGGGGAACCAGGACUUUUACUUUGAAAAAAUUAGAGUGUUCAAAGCAGGCCUAUGCUCGAAUACAUUAGCAUGGAAUAAUAGAAUAGGACGUGUGGUUCUAUUUUGUUGGUUUCUAGGACCGCCGUAAUGAUUAAUAGGGAUAGUCGGGGGCAUCAGUAUUCAACUGUCAGAGGUGAAAUUCUUGGAUUUGUUGAAGACUAACUACUGCGAAAGCAUUUGCCAAGGAUGUUUUCAUUAAUCAGGAACGAAAGUUAGGGGAUCGAAGACGAUCAGAUACCGUCGUAGUCUUAACCAUAAACUAUGCCGACUAGGGAUCGGGCGAUGUUAUCUUUUUGACUCGCUCGGCACCUUACGAGAAAUCAAAGUUUUUGGGUUCUGGGGGGAGUAUGGUCGCAAGGCUGA
This 1100-nucleotide ribosomal RNA is filed under the name Bettsia alvei. Its description in RNAcentral is "SSU rRNA". It matches the Rfam family "Eukaryotic small subunit ribosomal RNA", at positions 31 to 1140 of the family's 1831-position model. Lineage: Eukaryota; Fungi; Ascomycota; Leotiomycetes. The record is from RNAcentral.